RNAcentral lists this small nuclear RNA (18 nucleotides) under Arabidopsis thaliana (thale cress). RNAcentral describes it as "snRNA_03439". Lineage: Eukaryota; Viridiplantae; Streptophyta; Magnoliopsida; Brassicales; Brassicaceae. The record is from RNAcentral.
GCUUUUCAACACGGAGAU